RNAcentral lists this microRNA precursor (77 nucleotides) under Chaetura pelagica (chimney swift). RNAcentral's name for it is "mir-1788 microRNA precursor family". It matches the Rfam family "mir-1788 microRNA precursor family". Lineage: Eukaryota; Metazoa; Chordata; Aves; Apodiformes; Apodidae. The record is from Rfam by way of RNAcentral.
UUGUCUCUGGGGCUUGUUUUCCGUUGCCUGCGUUUUUUUCCAGUGACUCAGGCAGCGAAAGCAAGUCUGGGAGGCUG